Molecule: transfer RNA, 81 nt
Filed under: Colletotrichum sublineola
Lineage: Eukaryota; Fungi; Ascomycota; Sordariomycetes; Glomerellales; Glomerellaceae
Also listed under: 1 other name
Description: tRNA-Asp
Rfam family: tRNA
About the family: Transfer RNA (tRNA) molecules are approximately 80 nucleotides in length. Their secondary structure includes four short double-helical elements and three loops (D, anti-codon, and T loops). Further hydrogen bonds mediate the characteristic L-shaped molecular structure. tRNAs have two regions of fundamental functional importance: the anti-codon, which is responsible for specific mRNA codon recognition, and the 3' end, to which the tRNAs corresponding amino acid is attached (by aminoacyl-tRNA synthetases). tRNAs cope with the degeneracy of the genetic code in two manners: having more than one tRNA (with a specific anti-codon) for a particular amino acid; and 'wobble' base-pairing, i.e. permitting non-standard base-pairing at the 3rd anti-codon position.
Source: RNAcentral
GCGCCGAUGGUUUAGUGGGAAAAUUCUCAGUUAUCAUCCAGCAGCGUCGGGGAGCCGGGGGUUGGAUCCCCCCUCGGCGCA